ACUUGGUUUAAGGACCCGCGUGUGUGUGUGUCGCUCUUCUUAUUCUGAGAGACGUCACUCGAGUUAUCUCAAGUGUGUGACGAUAUAUCCAACAUUUGUGUGUCAUAGGACACUAAUUGGCCCAUUCAGCCCUGGUUGUCGACUCUGUGUAUACGAGUGAUUCUCACUUUGUGUGUAGCCUGUCUCCACAGGUAGCUAAAUUUUACUCGCUUUCUCUCAUUAUGUCCCUAACCUUGUUUAUCCCUUCUUAGGAACCACAAUCACUACCACAAUUAUC
This 277-nucleotide long non-coding RNA is filed under the name Daphnia pulicaria. Its description in RNAcentral is "uncharacterized LOC124338636". Lineage: Eukaryota; Metazoa; Arthropoda; Branchiopoda; Diplostraca; Daphniidae. The record is from RNAcentral.